GAUGAACGCUGGCGGCGUGCCUAAUACAUGCAAGUCGAGCGAACAGAUGAGGAGCUUGCUCCUCUGACGUUAGCGGCGGACGGGUGAGUAACACGUGGAUAACCUCCCUAUAAAACUGGGAUAACUUCGGGAAACCGGAGCUAAUACCGGAUAAUAUAUUGAACCGCAUGGUUCAAUAGUGAAAGACGGUUUUGCUGUCUCUUAUAGAUGGAUCCGCGCCGCAUUAGCUAGUUGGUAAGGUAACGGCUUACCAAGGCAACGAUGCAUAGCCGACCUGAGAGGGUGAUCGGCCACACUGGAACUGAGACACGGUCCAGACUCCUACGGGAGGCAGCAGUAGGGAAUCUUCCGCAAUGGGCGAAAGCCUGACGGAGCAACGCCGCGUGAGUGAUGAAGGUCUUCGGAUCGGAAAACUCUGUUAUUAGGGAAGAACAAAUGUGUAAGUAACUAUGCACGUCUUGACGGUACCUAAUCAGAAAGCCACGGCUAACUACGUG
RNAcentral lists this ribosomal RNA (497 nucleotides) under uncultured bacterium. Its description in RNAcentral is "partial 16S ribosomal RNA". It matches the Rfam family "Bacterial small subunit ribosomal RNA", at positions 28 to 507 of the family's 1533-position model. The record is from RNAcentral.